Molecule: long non-coding RNA, 189 nt
Organism: Suricata suricatta (meerkat)
Lineage: Eukaryota; Metazoa; Chordata; Mammalia; Carnivora; Herpestidae
Exons: 3
Source: RefSeq, a predicted model, not a curated record
GGUAUCUCUGGGUGGUCAACUUCCUAAGUUGGCUUUCCAGUCAUCUUCUCGGAAGAAGUUAUUCAUUCCAUGAAUUUAUUGAGUACUUCCAAACACCAGGCACAGGGUUAAACUCUGCGAUCUGAAGGCAAAAAUACUGAAAUUUACAGUGGUUUGAGGAAGCAGGCAUAAUUUAAGCUUCAUGUGAAC